AUUGAACGCUGGCGGCAGGCCUAACACAUGCAAGUCGAGCGGAGCGGCGGACGGGUGAGUAAUGCCUAGGAAUCUGCCUGGUAGUGGGGGAUAACGUCCGGAAACGGGCGCUAAUACCGCAUACUAUCAAAUGAGCCUAGGUCGGAUUAGCUAGUUGGUGGGGUAAAGGCCUACAAAGGCGACGAUACUUAACUGGUCUGAGAGGAUGAUCAGGACAACUGGAACUGGUACACGGUCCAGACGCCGACGUGAGGCAGCAGUGGGGAAUAUUGGACAAUGGGCGAAAGCCUGAUCCAGCCAUUCCGCGUGUGUGAAGAAGGGCUUCGGAUUGUAAAGCACUUUAAGUUGGGAGGCGUUACCAACAGAAUAAGCACCGGCUAACUUCGUGCCAGCAGCCGCGGUAAUAC
RNAcentral lists this ribosomal RNA (407 nucleotides) under uncultured bacterium. RNAcentral's name for it is "partial 16S ribosomal RNA". It matches the Rfam family "Bacterial small subunit ribosomal RNA", at positions 30 to 526 of the family's 1533-position model. The record is from RNAcentral.